RNAcentral lists this ribosomal RNA (666 nucleotides) under Helvella macropus. RNAcentral's name for it is "eukaryotic LSU rRNA". It matches the Rfam family "Eukaryotic large subunit ribosomal RNA", at positions 119 to 796 of the family's 3401-position model. The record is from RNAcentral. Lineage: Eukaryota; Fungi; Ascomycota; Pezizomycetes; Pezizales; Helvellaceae.
AAUCUGGGGUCCCCGACCUCCGAGUUGUAAUUUGGAGAGGCAUCUUCGGGGGGGAGCGCCGGCCCMUGUUCCUUGGGACAGGACGUCMCAGAGGGUGAGAAUCCCGUGCCUGGCCGGCUGCCUCCUCCCGGGUGGAGGGCCUUCGACGAGUCGAGUUGUUUGGGAAUGCAGCUCCAAGUGGGUGGUAAAUUUCAUCUAAAGCUAAAUACCGGCGGGAGACCGAUAGCGCACAAGUAGAGUGAUCGAAAGAUGAAAAGCACUUUGAAAAUAGAGUCAAAAAGUACGUGAAAUUGUUGAAAGGGAAGCGCUUGAGACCAGACUCGGGCCUGGGCAAACAUCGCGCCCCUCGGGGCCGUGCAAUUGCCCGGGCCUGGGCCAGCAUCAGUUGGCGUGGCGGGACAAAGGCGCGGGGAAUGUGGCUCCCCUCGGGGAGUGUUAUUAGGCCCGCGCUCAAUGCCGCCGACGCCGACUGAGGACCGCGCCUCGGCUAGGAUGCUGGCUUAAUGGCCUUCAGCGACCCGUCUUGAAACACGGACCAAGGAGUCUAACAUCUAUGCGAGUGUUUGGGCGACAAACCCUUGCGCGGAAUGAAAGUGAGCGGAGGUGGGAACCCCCCCGCGGGGCGCACCAUCGACCGAUCCUGAUGUCUUCGGAUGGAUUUGAGUA